RNAcentral lists this ribosomal RNA (450 nucleotides) under Salmonella enterica subsp. enterica serovar Senftenberg. RNAcentral describes it as "bacterial SSU rRNA". It matches the Rfam family "Bacterial small subunit ribosomal RNA", at positions 1 to 447 of the family's 1533-position model. RNAcentral also lists the same sequence under 1 other name. Lineage: Bacteria; Pseudomonadati; Pseudomonadota; Gammaproteobacteria; Enterobacterales; Enterobacteriaceae. The record is from RNAcentral.
AAAUUGAAGAGUUUGAUCAUGGCUCAGAUUGAACGCUGGCGGCAGGCCUAACACAUGCAAGUCGAACGGUAACAGAAAGCAGCUUGCUGCUUUGCUGACGAGUGGCGGACGGGUGAGUAAUGUCUGGGAAACUGCCUGAUGGAGGGGGAUAACUACUGGAAACGGUGGCUAAUACCGCAUAACGUCGCAAGACCAAAGAGGGGGACCUUCGGGCCUCUUGCCAUCAGAUGUGCCCAGAUGGGAUUAGCUUGUUGGUGAGGUAACGGCUCACCAAGGCGACGAUCCCUAGCUGGUCUGAGAGGAUGACCAGCCACACUGGAACUGAGACACGGUCCAGACUCCUACGGGAGGCAGCAGUGGGGAAUAUUGCACAAUGGGCGCAAGCCUGAUGCAGCCAUGCCGCGUGUAUGAAGAAGGCCUUCGGGUUGUAAAGUACUUUCAGCGGGGAGG